RNAcentral lists this ribosomal RNA (419 nucleotides) under bacterium. RNAcentral's name for it is "partial 16S ribosomal RNA". It matches the Rfam family "Bacterial small subunit ribosomal RNA", at positions 355 to 776 of the family's 1533-position model. The record is from RNAcentral.
UGGGGGAUAUUGCACAAUGGGCGAAAGCCUGAUGCAGCGACGCCGCGUGGGGGAUGAAGGCCUUCGGGUUGUAAACUUCUUUUGCUCUGAACAAGGCGCACCAUGGGGUGUGUUGAGUGUAGGGGUUGAUUAGCGCCGGCUAACUACGUGCCAGCAGCCGCGGUAAUACGUAGGGCGCGAGCGUUGUCCGGAAUUAUUGGGCGUAAAGGGCUUGUAGGUGGCUGGUUGCGUCUGUCGUGAAAGCUCAUGGCUUAACUGUGGGUUUGCGGUGGGUACGGGCUGGCUUGAGUGCAGUAGGGGAGGCUGGAAUGCCUGGUGUAGCGGUGGAAUGCGCAGAUAUCAGGAGGAAUACCGGUGGCGAAGGCGGGUCUCUGGGCUGUUACUGACACUGAGGAGCGAAAGCAUGGGGAGCGAACAGG